Molecule: ribosomal RNA, 762 nt
Filed under: uncultured Peptostreptococcus sp.
Lineage: Bacteria; Bacillati; Bacillota; Clostridia; Peptostreptococcales; Peptostreptococcaceae
Description: bacterial SSU rRNA
Rfam family: Bacterial small subunit ribosomal RNA
Source: RNAcentral
GAUGAACGCUGGCGGCGUGCCUAACACAUGCAAGUCGAGCGAGGGUUUGCUCAGUAUUGAGUAUUCUAAAACUAGAAUGUUCAAUUCUGAGCAAAACCAAGCGGCGGACGGGUGAGUAACGCGUGGGUAACCUGCCCUAUACACAUGGAUAACAUACUGAAAAGUUUACUAAUACAUGAUAAUAUAUAUUUGCGGCAUCGCAGAUAUAUCAAAGUGUUAGCGGUAUAGGAUGGACCCGCGUCUGAUUAGCUAGUUGGUGAGAUAACUGCCCACCAAGGCGACGAUCAGUAGCCGACCUGAGAGGGUGAUCGGCCACAUUGGAACUGAGACACGGUCCAAACUCCUACGGGAGGCAGCAGUGGGGAAUAUUGCACAAUGGGCGAAAGCCUGAUGCAGCAACGCCGCGUGAACGAUGAAGGUCUUCGGAUCGUAAAGUUCUGUUGCAGGGGAAGAUAAUGACGGUACCCUGUGAGGAAGCCCCGGCUAACUACGUGCCAGCAGCCGCGGUAAUACGUAGGGGGCUAGCGUUAUCCGGAUUUACUGGGCGUAAAGGGUGCGUAGGUGGUCCUUCAAGUCGGUGGUUAAAGGCUACGGCUCAACCGUAGUAAGCUGCCGAAACUGGAGGACUUGAGUGCAGGAGAGGAAAGUGGAAUUCCCAGUGUAGCGGUGAAAUGCGUAGAUAUUGGGAGGAACACCAGUAGCGAAGGCGGCUUUCUGGACUGCAACUGACACUGAGGCACGAAAGCGUGGGUAGCAAACAGG